AUUGAACGCUGGCGGCAGGCCUAACACAUGCAAGUCGAGCGGAUGAAGGGAGCUUGCUCCUGGAUUCAGCGGCGGACGGGUGAGUAAUGCCUAGGAAUCUGCCUGGUAGUGGGGGAUAACGUCCGGAAACGGGCGCUAAUACCGCAUACGUCCUGAGGGAGAAAGUGGGGGAUCUUCGGACCUCACGCUAUCAGAUGAGCCUAGGUCGGAUUAGCUAGUUGGUGGGGUAAAGGCCUACCAAGGCGACGAUCCGUAACUGGUCUGAGAGGAUGAUCAGUCACACUGGAACUGAGACACGGUCCAGACUCCGACGGGAGGCAGCAGUGGGGAAUAUUGGACAAUGGGCGAAAGCCUGAUCCAGCCAUGCCGCGUGUGUGAAGAAGGUCUGCGGAUUGUAAAGCACUUUAAGUUGGGAGGAAGGGCAGUAAGUUAAUACCUUGCUGUUUUGACGUUACCAACAGAAUAAGCACCGGCUAACUUCGG
RNAcentral lists this ribosomal RNA (483 nucleotides) under uncultured bacterium. Its description in RNAcentral is "partial 16S ribosomal RNA". It matches the Rfam family "Bacterial small subunit ribosomal RNA", at positions 30 to 506 of the family's 1533-position model. The record is from RNAcentral.